Molecule: ribosomal RNA, 497 nt
Filed under: uncultured bacterium
Lineage: Bacteria
Description: partial 16S ribosomal RNA
Rfam family: Bacterial small subunit ribosomal RNA
Source: RNAcentral
GAUGAACGCUGGCGGCGUGCCUAAUACAUGCAAGUCGAGCGAACAGACGAGGAGCUUGCUCCUCUGACGUUAGCGGCGGACGGGUGAGUAACACGUGGAUAACCUACCUAUAAGACUGGGAUAACUUCGGGAAACCGGAGCUAAUACCGGAUAAUAUAUUGAACCGCAUGGUUCAAUAGUGAAAGACGGUUUUGCUGUCACUUAUAGAUGGAUCCGCGCCGCAUUAGCUAGUUGGUAAGGUAACGGCUUACCAAGGCAACGAUGCGUAGCCGACCUGAGAGGGGGAUCGGCCACACUGGAACGGAGACACGGUCCAGACGCCUACGGGAGGCAGCAGUAGGGAAUCUGCCGCAAUGGGCGAAAGCCUGACGGAGCAACGCCGCGUGAGUGAUGAAGGUCUUCGGAUCGUAAAACUCUGUUAUUAGGGAAGAACAAAUGUGUAAGUAACUAUGCACGUCUUGACGGUACCUAAUCAGAAAGCCCCGGCUAACUACGUG